UACGAAGGGGGCUAGCGUUGCUCGGAAUUACUGGGCGUAAAGCGCACGUAGGCGGUCUUUUAAGUCGGUGGUGAAAUCCUGGAGCUCAACUCCAGAACUGCCUUCGAUACUGGAAGACUUGAGUCCGGGAGAGGUGAGUGGAACUGCGAGUGUAGAGGUGAAAUUCGCAGAUAUUCGCAAGAACACCAGUGGCGAAGGCGGCUCACUGGCCCGAUACUGACGCUGAGGCACGAAAGCGUGGGGAGCAAACAGG
Molecule: ribosomal RNA, 253 nt
Filed under: uncultured bacterium
Lineage: Bacteria
Description: partial 16S ribosomal RNA
Rfam family: Bacterial small subunit ribosomal RNA
Source: RNAcentral